UGAAGCACGUACGCCAGUAUGUGUGGAGCCGUCCUUGAAAUACCACCCUUGUAGUGUUGAUGUUCUAACGUCGACCCCUUAUCGGGGUUGCGGACAGUGCCUGGUGGGUAGUUUGACUGGGGCGGUCUCCUCCCAAAGAGUAACGGAGGAGCACGAAGGUGGGCUAAUCACGGUUGGACAUCGUGAGGUUAGUGCAAUGGCAUAAGCCCGCUUGACUGCGAGAAUGACAAUUCGAGCAGGUGCGAAAGCAGGUCAUAGUGAUCCGGUGGUUCUGAAUGGAAGGGCCAUCGCUCAACGGAUAAAAGGUACUCCGGGGAUAACAGGCUGAUACCGCCCAAGAGUUCAUAUCGACGGCGGUGUUUGGCACCUCGAUGUCGGCUCAUCACAUCCUGGGGCUGAAGUCGGUCCCAAGGGUAUGGCUGUUCGCCAUUUAAAGUGGUACGCGAGCUGGGUUUAGAACGUCGUGAGACAGUUCGGUCCCUAUCUGCCGUGGGCGUUGGAAGAUUGAAGGGGGCUGCUCCUAGUACGAGAGGACCGGAGUGGACGAACCUCUGGUGUUCGGGUUGUGUCGCCAGACGCAUUGCCCGGUAGCUAAGUUCGGAAUCGAUAACCGCUGAAAGCAUCUAAGCGGGAAGCGAGCCCUGAGAUGAGUCUUCCCUGAUACUUUAAGUAUCCUAAAGGGUUGUCGGAGACUACGACGUUGAUAGGUCAGGUGUGUAAGUGCUGUGAGGCAUUGAGCUAACUGAUACUAAUUGCCCGUGAGGCUUAACCAUACAACACC
RNAcentral lists this ribosomal RNA (781 nucleotides) under Vibrio parahaemolyticus. Its description in RNAcentral is "partial 23S ribosomal RNA". It matches the Rfam family "Bacterial large subunit ribosomal RNA", at positions 2158 to 2925 of the family's 2925-position model. Lineage: Bacteria; Pseudomonadati; Pseudomonadota; Gammaproteobacteria; Vibrionales; Vibrionaceae. The record is from RNAcentral.